UUAGAUCGUACCCACAUUUACUUGGAUAACUGUGGUAAUUCUAGAGCUAAUACAUGCAAACAGAGCUCCGACCGGAGACGGAAGGAGCGCUUUUAUUAGAUCAAAACCGAUCGGUGGUGGAUUUAUCCAUCAUCGUAUAACUUGGUGAAUCUGAAUAACUUUAAGCUGAUCGCACGGUCUAGCACCGGCGACGCAUCUUUCAAAUGUCUGCCUUAUCAACUGUCGAUGGUAGGUUCUGCGCCUACCAUGGUUGUAACGGGUAACGGGGAAUCAGGGUUCGAUUCCGGAGAGGGAGCCUGAGAAACGGCUACCACAUCCAAGGAAGGCAGCAGGCGCGCAAAUUACCCACUCCCGGCACGGGGAGGUAGUGACGAAAAAUAACGAUACGGGACUCAUCCGAGGCCCCGUAAUCGGAAUGAGUACACUCUAAACCCUUUAACGAGGAUCAAUUGGAGGGCAAGUCUGGUGCCAGCAGCCGCGGUAAUUCCAGCUCCAAUAGCGUAUAUUAAAGUUGUUGCGGUUAAAAAGCUCGUAGUCGAAUCUGUGUCCCGCACCGCCGGUUCAUCGUUCGCGGUGUUAACUGGCGUGCCGCGGGACGUCCUGCCGGUGGGCUUAGCUCGCAAGGGCGGCCCAAAUCAAUCCUGCCACGGUGCUCUUCAUUGAGUGUCGAGGUGGGCCGGCACGUUUACUUUGAACAAAUUAGAGUGCUUAAAGCAGGCUAAAAUUUCGCCUGAAUACUGUGUGCAUGGAAUAAUGGAAUAGGACCUCGGUUCUAUUUUGUUGGUUUUCGGAACCCCGAGGUAAUGAUUAAUAGGGACGGAUGGGGGCAUUC
Molecule: ribosomal RNA, 832 nt
Filed under: Cis laevigatus
Lineage: Eukaryota; Metazoa; Arthropoda; Insecta; Coleoptera; Ciidae
Also listed under: 2 other names
Description: SSU rRNA
Rfam family: Eukaryotic small subunit ribosomal RNA
Source: RNAcentral